GAUGAACGCUGGCGGCGUGCCUAAUACAUGCAAGUCGAGCGAACAGACGAGGAGCUUGCUCCUCUGACGUUAGCGGCGGACGGGUGAGUAACACGUGGAUAACCUACCUAUAAGACUGGGAUAACUUCGGGAAACCGGAGCUAAUACCGGAUAAUAUAUUGAACCGCAUGGUUCAAUAGUGAAAGACGGUUUUGCUGUCACUUAUAGAUGGAUCCGCGCCGCAUUAGCUAGUUGGUAAGGUAACGGCUUACCAAGGCAACGAUGCGUAGCCGACCUGAGAGGGUGAUCGGCCACACUGGAACUGAGACACGGUCCAGACUCCUACGGGAGGCAGCAGUAGGGAAUCUUCCGCAAUGGGCGAAAGCCUGACGGAGCAACGCCGCGUGAGUGAUGAAGGUCUUCGGAUCGUAAAACUCUGUUAUUAGGGAAGAACAGAUGUGUAAGUAACUGUGCACGUCUUGACGGUACCUAAUCAGAAAGCCACGGCUAACUACGUG
Molecule: ribosomal RNA, 497 nt
Filed under: uncultured bacterium
Lineage: Bacteria
Description: partial 16S ribosomal RNA
Rfam family: Bacterial small subunit ribosomal RNA
Source: RNAcentral